UAGCAGAAUUCAGUGAAAUCUGUUUAUACAAUCUGAUGUUUUAUUCCAGGAUCUAGAACUUCAUUUGAAAUUGGAGUGCCCGUCUGGAGAUUGAAUGGAACAGCUGCUGAGGAACAGUUUAUCUCUUUGUGUUGUCAAAGGAAUACUUUCUUCAUUAUGCCUUGCUACAGAUUAAAAUUACUGAAUGAUCUGGCUUGUCUUCAAGAGAAAAAACAAAACAAAACACUGGAUCAUGAUUACCGAAUUCUGGAAUUUUCUGCAAUUAGAUUUAGAUAGUAAUGAAUUACCACUAUUUUAUGGAGGCAAACAGCUGCAAUGAUCUUAAUCCUGAGUGAUACAUUUAAAAGUUCUGACAUGAAGGAAAGCCGUCCUGGGGGGCACUUACAUCAUCUAGAAGAAUGCGGAGAACCUUUAUUUCUUUUGUUUAGCAACAUUUUUAGUUCCAAGAGGUACUGACAAAACAUCUGAAAUUGACAAAACAUCUGAAAACUAACAGACAGAAGAACUAAGUCCCGAUAAGAAAUGGUAUUUUGCAAGACAAUGUGCAAUUCACUGAACUAUUACCCUCCUAUUUUUUCACACAACCAAAAAUUUAUUUUAAAGAUUUACAAAAAAAAAAAAAUUGCACACGGAGAGAGAAUUACAAAAUGAACAAGCAGAUUUUCAAAAAGACACAAGAUGAGACAACUAAUAUAAGAUGGAUAAGCAUGACUAUAAGAGAAUGGAAGAAUGAAUUUUAUCUUUCCUUUAAUAACGACGGUAAGGCCUGAUUAUAUAGAACAUUCCUGAAUGUGGAACAUAUUAAAGCUAAUCAACAUGUCAGAACACCUGAUUAUUCUUUUGAGGAGCCUUUGGAAUAAACAAGAAUUUCCUGUAAUAGCUGAGUUUGAAGAUUCUAAAUAGGAAAAGGUACGUGAUAAGUAUGCAUAUUAUCUCUAUUUUUAACAAAAAUAGCAUAUAGAUUAAA
This 967-nucleotide long non-coding RNA is filed under the name Laticauda laticaudata (blue-ringed sea krait). RNAcentral's name for it is "lncRNA (ENSLLTG00000011223.1)". The record is from RNAcentral. Lineage: Eukaryota; Metazoa; Chordata; Lepidosauria; Squamata; Elapidae.